This 425-nucleotide ribosomal RNA is filed under the name uncultured bacterium. Its description in RNAcentral is "partial 16S ribosomal RNA". It matches the Rfam family "Bacterial small subunit ribosomal RNA", at positions 354 to 796 of the family's 1533-position model. The record is from RNAcentral.
GUGGGGAAUCUUGCGCAAUGGGCGAAAGCCUGACGCAGCCAUGCCGCGUGAAUGAUGAAGGUCUUAGGAUUGUAAAAUUCUUUCACCGGGGACGAUAAUGACGGUACCCGGAGAAGAAGCUCCGGCUAACUUCGUGCCAGCAGCCGCGGUAAUACGAGGGGGGCUAGCGUUGCUCGGAAUUACUGGGCGUAAAGGGCGCGUAGGCGGACAGCUUAGUCAGAGGUGAAAGCCCAGGGCUCAACCUUGGAAUUGCCUUUGAUACUGGCUGUCUUGAGUUUGGGAGAGGUGAGUGGAACUCCGAGUGUAGAGGUGAAAUUCGUAGAUAUUCGGAAGAACACCAGUGGCGAAGGCGACUCACUGGCCCAAUACUGACGCUGAGGCGCGAAAGCGUGGGGAGCAAACAGGAUUAGAUACCCUUGUAGUCC